This 711-nucleotide ribosomal RNA is filed under the name uncultured bacterium. Its description in RNAcentral is "bacterial SSU rRNA". It matches the Rfam family "Bacterial small subunit ribosomal RNA", at positions 56 to 776 of the family's 1533-position model. The record is from RNAcentral.
UGCAAGUCGAACGGACUUAACCAUUAGUUUACUAUUGGAGCGGUUAGUGGCGGACUGGUGAGUAACACGUAAGCAACCUGCCUAUCAGAGGGGAACAACAGUUAGAAAUGACUGCUAAUACCGCAUAUACCCAAGUGUCACAUGGCACAAUGGGGAAAGGAGCAAUCCGCUGAUAGAUGGGCUUGCGUCUGAUUAGCUAGUUGGUGGGGUAACGGCCUACCAAGGCGACGAUCAGUAGCCGGACUGAGAGGUUGAACGGCCACAUUGGGACUGAGAUACGGCCCAGACUCCUACGGGAGGCAGCAGUCGGGAAUAUUGCGCAAUGGAGGAAACUCUGACGCAGUGACGCCGCGUGCAGGAAGAAGGUUUUCGGAUUGUAAACUGCUUUAGACAGGGAAGAAACAAGACAGUACCUGUAGAAUAAGCUCCGGCUAACUACGUGCCAGCAGCCGCGGUAAUACGUAGGGAGCGAGCGUUAUCCGGAUUUAUUGGGUGUAAAGGGUGCGUAGACGGGAAAAUAAGUUAGUUGUGAAAGCCCUCGGCUUAACUGAGGAACUGCAACUAAAACUGUUUUUCUUGAGUACUGGAGAGGAAAGUGGAAUUCCUAGUGUAGCGGUGAAAUGCGUAGAUAUUAGGAGGAACACCAGUGGCGAAGGCGACUUUCUGGACAGAAACUGACGUUGAGGCACGAAAGUGUGGGGAGCAAACAGG